Suillus subaureus is the source of this 82-nucleotide non-coding RNA. The record is from the annotation of a RefSeq genome assembly. Lineage: Eukaryota; Fungi; Basidiomycota; Agaricomycetes; Boletales; Suillaceae.
CUUGUCUUAGUCAAGUGGUUAACACAACAGAAUCAAAAUCUGUCUCUCUUGGACUGCGCAGGUUUGAAGCCUGCCGACAAUA